Molecule: ribosomal RNA, 460 nt
Filed under: uncultured bacterium
Lineage: Bacteria
Description: partial 16S ribosomal RNA
Rfam family: Bacterial small subunit ribosomal RNA
Source: RNAcentral
CCUACGGGUGGCAGCAGUGAGGAAUAUUGGUCAAUGGACGAGAGUCUGAACCAGCCAAGUAGCAUGAAGGAUGACUGCCCUAUGGGUUGUAAACUUCUUUUAUAUGGGAAUAAAACGUUCCACGUGUGGGAUUUUGUAUGUACCAUAUGAAUAAGGAUCGGCUAACUCCGUGCCAGCAGCCGCGGUAAUACGGAGGAUCCGAGCGUUAUCCGGAUUUAUUGGGUUUAAAGGGAGCGUAGGUGGAUUGUUAAGUCAGUUGUGAAAGUUUGCGGCUCAACCGUAAAAUUGCAGUUGAAACUGGCAGUCUUGAGUACAGUAGAGGUGGGCGGAAUUCGUGGUGUAGCGGUGAAAUGCUUAGAUAUCACGAAGAACUCCGAUUGCGAAGGCAGUUCACUGGACUGCAACUGACACUGAGGCUCGAAAGUGUGGGUAUCAAACAGGAUUAGAUACCCCUGUAGUC